Molecule: ribosomal RNA, 1502 nt
Filed under: uncultured bacterium
Lineage: Bacteria
Description: 16S ribosomal RNA
Rfam family: Bacterial small subunit ribosomal RNA
Source: RNAcentral
AGAGUUUGAUCCUGGCUCAGAUUGAACGCUGGCGGCAGGCCUAACACAUGCAAGUCGAGCGGUAGCACAGAGAGCUUGCUCUCGGGUGACGAGCGGCGGACGGGUGAGUAAUGUCUGGGAAACUGCCUGAUGGAGGGGGAUAACUACUGGAAACGGUAGCUAAUACCGCAUAACGUCGCAAGACCAAAGUGGGGGACCUUCGGGCCUCAUGCCAUCAGAUGUGCCCAGAUGGGAUUAGCUAGUAGGUGGGGUAAUGGCUCACCUAGGCGACGAUCCCUAGCUGGUCUGAGAGGAUGACCAGCCACACUGGAACUGAGACACGGUCCAGACUCCUACGGGAGGCAGCAGUGGGGAAUAUUGCACAAUGGGCGGAAGCCUGAUGCAGCCAUGCCGCGUGUAUGAAGAAGGCCUUCGGGUUGUAAAGUACUUUCAGCGAGGAGGAAGGCGUUAAGGUUAAUAACCUUAGCGAUUGACGUUACUCGCAGAAGAAGCACCGGCUAACUCCGUGCCAGCAGCCGCGGUAAUACGGAGGGUGCAAGCGUUAAUCGGAAUUACUGGGCGUAAAGCGCACGCAGGCGGUCUGUCAAGUCGGAUGUGAAAUCCCCGGGCUCAACCUGGGAACUGCAUUCGAAACUGGCAGGCUAGAGUCUUGUAGAGGGGGGUAGAAUUCCAGGUGUAGCGGUGAAAUGCGUAGAGAUCUGGAGGAAUACCGGUGGCGAAGGCGGCCCCCUGGACAAAGACUGACGCUCAGGUGCGAAAGCGUGGGGAGCAAACAGGAUUAGAUACCCUGGUAGUCCACGCCGUAAACGAUGUCGACUUGGAGGUUGUGCCCUUGAGGCGUGGCUUCCGGAGCUAACGCGUUAAGUCGACCGCCUGGGGAGUACGGCCGCAAGGUUAAAACUCAAAUGAAUUGACGGGGGCCCGCACAAGCGGUGGAGCAUGUGGUUUAAUUCGAUGCAACGCGAAGAACCUUACCUGGUCUUGACAUCCACAGAACUUUCCAGAGAUGGAUUGGUGCCUUCGGGAACUGUGAGACAGGUGCUGCAUGGCUGUCGUCAGCUCGUGUUGUGAAAUGUUGGGUUAAGUCCCGCAACGAGCGCAACCCUUAUCCUUUGUUGCCAGCGGUCCGGCCGGGAACUCAAAGGAGACUGCCAGUGAUAAACUGGAGGAAGGUGGGGAUGACGUCAAGUCAUCAUGGCCCUUACGACCAGGGCUACACACGUGCUACAAUGGCAUAUACAAAGAGAAGCGACCUCGCGAGAGCAAGCGGACCUCAUAAAGUAUGUCGUAGUCCGGAUUGGAGUCUGCAACUCGACUCCAUGAAGUCGGAAUCGCUAGUAAUCGUAGAUCAGAAUGCUACGGUGAGUACGUUCCCGGGCCUUGUACACACCGCCCGUCACACCAUGGGAGUGGGUUGCAAAAGAAGUAGGUAGCUUAACCUUCGGGAGGGCGCUUACCACUUUGUGAUUCAUGACUGGGGUGAAGUCGUAACAAGGUAACCG